RNAcentral lists this long non-coding RNA (8726 nucleotides) under Mytilus galloprovincialis (Mediterranean mussel). Lineage: Eukaryota; Metazoa; Mollusca; Bivalvia; Mytilida; Mytilidae. The record is from RNAcentral.
CAAACAAAAAAGAGUGCAUAUCAAAGCUAUUAUGUCAUACUUAUAUUUACCUAAAAGAUAACAAGACAGUGUAUAUCGCCGAUAACGUUUUUACAUUAGAGUGUAUUUCUAAAUAUUAAACAACAAUGGGUGGAAAAAUAUCAUUCCCAAGAAUUCCAAUUAGCAAGGACAGAGUUGUAGUUGUAACAGGUGGAAAUACAGGUAUGUACGCAUAAACCAGUUCAAAGGUACAUUGUCAAUACUAAAGGUUGCUGACUAGACUUACUUUUCACACAAAGAAAUCGAUAAAUGACAUUAUGUAUUUCAAAAUGGUUUCCGUUUUAAACUUGAUAAUUUUCAUUUACUUGUUUGUCAACCUUUCUCGAUUUUCAGAAAUAAUCGUAUCAGUUUUUAGAGCGAUCAAUUGAUGACUGAUUAAAGUCUGGCGAUAAAUGCUUGUUUACAAAUAAACGGUCCACAAGUAGUUUUUACUUAGUAUUAUUCUCUUAGAACACAUCAUUCUGUGCCGAGCGGACCAGUCUUUGAUCUAUCUCCUAUGAAUCUCCUAUGUAUCAUGUGUAUCGCGUGUAUGGAUGAUAUAAUAUAAUAAUGAUUCUAGUCUUAUGUUAGACAUGGCCAAGUAAAGAUUUUGGCGCAAUACCUUCUCGUUUUCAAUGAAAGGAAGAUGUAGGAUUCAAGUUGAAUUGCAACCUUAGAACACCCCAAUAUGGUUUCAAACAAUAGACAGGGUCUAUCUGAUAGCUCCAGCUCUACGUCACUUAGUGUAUAGGAAAGCUGUUCUGUUUUAUUUUAAUAGAUACUAUUAAAGAUAUGCUAUCAACAUCAAAUUCCACAAAUUAUAAAAUAUAAACCUUCAUUCACACAUGAUAAAAGACAAACAUUGAAGAGGUUCCUGGCUUGGGAGAGGCCUUUACCAUUUGACCGGUUAAACGUGGGUUAUUCUAUUUUUAUCUCAACCUCCCCUUUUCAUAAUGUACAUAUCAAAGGUACAUACAUGCCUUUCCUCGCUAUUUAAGAUAUCGUAUUCUAGAUUUCUAUUUAUCUUAUGGUAUAUGUUUUUCUGUUUUCUCAUACACAAAUUUACUGUUUUUCGGUAGGUAUUGGUUAUGAGACAGCAAAAUGGAUGGCGAUGUUAGGGGCAUCUGUAAUUAUAGCCUGCAGGUCAGAAAAAAGAGCUCUGGAGGUAAAGUGAAAUAUCCAAAUCGAAAAAAAUCAUAAUGUCCUACAUUGAUUGCAGCAGUUUGAGAUAAAACAAUAACCAUCGAAAAUUAGUUGAUGUGGUCGUGGUAUGAAAGCAGUGAAAUAUAAUUGAGCACUCAGUCUUACUAAGCACUUUUUUGGCAAUAUGUCUGUAAGACGGGGUGGGGGGGGGGGAAUAAUAAAACAAAACAAAAAAUUAACAGGUAUUAAAAAUAAUGAAAUCAUAAAUUUUCACCAUUUUGAAGCUUCAGAUUUCUAUUGAACGAACACAUGGUGAACUCUUAGUAUUCGAAUGACUAAACAAUUGGUCCUACUAUAGUACUUAUGGAAAAUGCAGUUACUUAACUAAUGGGUUGAACUGUUCAGAAUUCAAAGAUAAUGUGUGUAAACUAUUAAGAAUGAUGUAACUGAGCAAACUGGACAGAACCAUUUAUGUGGCUGAAUCAAUUGGGCCAAACUGUUAAAAAUUUAAAUUACAGGCAAUCGCAAGAAUGAAGUCAGAUUUCCAUAGAGAGAAAGAACAGAAGACAGAAGGGGUUACACAAACUGACGAUAUAUCUGUAGAGUUUAUGAAAUUAGAUUUGAGUUCUCUUGAAUCGACUAAAGAAUUUACAGAUAAAUUCAUUGAUUCUGGGCGGCAACUAAACACACUUAUAUGCAACGCAGGAAUUGCUUUUCACCCUUUAGGUAUAUUUAAUACUAAACUUUAAAGAACACAAUAGUACAGCAACAAAAAGUGCGUUUUAGCUGCAUCUUAAAAUAAAGUUCACAUUUUAAGUAUACAUAUUGCAUUGCUUCGUUAUUCUAUAUAUAGUUUGACUAUAAUAGAUAUAAGAAGAUGUGGUAUGAGUGCCAAUGAGACAACUCUCCAUCCAAGUCACGAAUUAUUAAGGAAACCAUUAUAGGUCAAAGUACAUCCUUCAACACUGAGCCUUGACUCACACCGAACAGCAUGCUAUAAGAGACCCAAAAUGAUUAGUGAAAAACCAUUAAAAAAUGAAAACCAACGGUCUAAUCUAUAUACAAACGAGAAAACCUUAUGAAACGCAUCAACAAACGACAGCCACAAUCAUAUAAGACUGAAACCCGGCUCUAUAUAUAUGAACAAAGUGUAGUAGUCAGCCGAGAAACAGCUUAUUUAACAAAAUGCUCAUGAUUGCUGCCUUACUACGAAAAUUGUUUAUCCGCAAAAAGACGGACAUAAAACACGCAACGCAUAUAUAUAUACAGUCAUAACGAUAAAAGGACGAACAUCGGUGUUCCGGUUACUAAUUAGCGAGGUUAUAAAAACAAACUCUUAUUGUUGAAUUAAAUUUAUAUGGGAAUGACAGUCCUUUAUGGCACGCGAUUUUCAUAUUCAUUUAACGUUCAAUAUAUAUAAAAAUUGAUCAUAUAAAAGUUUAAAGAUAUGUUCUGAAUUCUAAGGAGACACCUUUUAUAUUUUAUAUGACAUUUUUUUUAAUAUUUUACAAGAUAUUUUUUAUAUUUUAUAAUACAUCUAUUACAUACAAUUUCUAUAUAUCUUUAUUUUUUAAUUUUUAAUAAUACUCUUAGAAGAUAUCUUACAAAACACACUUUAUAAGACAUCUCGCUAAAUAUAAGAUAUAUAUCUAAUGAAUUAUACGAGUUAUCUUACAUAACUUAUAAGAAAUCAUAUUAAUAAUAUUGGAAAUACGGAAAAAAUGGAACGGUUAUAAGAUAUUUUUCUUUUUUGUGAUAAAAUUAACAGUUCCAAAUUUUGUGCACUAGAUUCAUAUGAAAUUUUCUUUCGGUGAUGCUCGAUGGAACACGUUUAAUUUUUUUUUAAAUUAAUCAAUCGUGCAAAAUUGUCCAGAAACAUUACAUAUCUUUAGAAAAGAUAUUUUAUUAUAAAGUUCAAGGGACAUUGGACAAUUCUGUCCACUACUAGGUAUUAUAUUUAUCAAAUUCUCGGUUUUUUUCUUGCAUCUUUUAACAAAAUGGUAAGUCAAUUUUUAAACAUACUAGAAAGGAAUAUUGUUUUACUUCCAGAAUAUACAGAGGAUGGAAAUGAAACCAUGUUUCAGGUGAGGCUUAAAGAGUAUAUAUACGAUGUGAGUUUUGAUCACUAUUGAAGGCCGUAAGGUGAUCUUGGUUGCUUAAAUAUGUUUUAUUUUGACUCUGUUUGAUUAGCAAUCAAAAUAUCAACAGAAAAAUUACAAAGGCAGUGCACUGAAAACAUACCAGUCAAAUCCCAUUAAAACUAGAUGUUUUGAGCCGACCAGUAUCUGAAACUACAAAUAAGUGCUUGUCAUGGUGAAUAUGUCCAAAAGUAUCAAAUGUAGAUAUUAACUUAGUUUAUUGUUACAGGUAAAUUAUUUAAGCCAACUUUUGUUAACAUUCCAUUUGUUGCCAGUAAUGAAGCGAUCUGGUGACGAUAGCAGAGUAAUCCUUGUCAGCAGUCAUGGACAUAAUUUCCACUCCACUCCAUUUACUGUGGAUAAAAUACAAGGAAAGCAACACAACGCUGGUAACUUCCCUAGAUUCCAUUAUUAUGGAAACUCGAAAUUAUAUCAGGUAAAAUAAAAUAUAAACCAAGGCCAUACAUAAUUAACUAGUUUUCCAUCAUUAUAAAUUAAAAAGUAUAUAUUAUGUGAGAAACGAAACGAAACGGAGGCAAAUAAAUUUACGUUGUAGUAUCAAAAGUUUUUAAAAAAACUCAGAAAAUACUACCAAUUACCAAAUUAAAAAAAACUGUUGACACAGUGUUCUUUCAGACUUUUGUGAUAUUUUGAUAAUAUACUCCAAAUGUUAAACAGCAUUAUCCUGUACCUUAGCUUAUAAACUAUGCAAACCAUUCAAAGACAAUUCACCUUGACUGAAGGUGCAGGAACAAAUAACCCUUGGAAAGGAGAAAUGCCAAUGCUAAUACAACUACAACCCAAAUACCAAUGACUUAUCAUAAGCGAUUCCCUGCACACACUUCAGCAUGUAAACUUUGCAAAACUUUCAAAUAUCAAUGAACAAUGACUGAAAUAAUCUGGUAUAUUGAACCAAUUGAUAAAUUAUCUAAAUCUCAAACUUCCUAUAAAGACAACACAGCUUUUCUGAAAUAAAGAUUUAGUUCUGUCUUUUUAUCUCACUCCACAGAGACCAUUUCAUUUCAGAUUUUACAAAUGUAUUUUAUGAAUCGUCGGCUUGCUGAAAGUAAUGUGUGUGUGUUGUCACUACAUCCCGGAUUGGUAGACACAGAAGUAACACGAGGAUUUCAAGAUAAUUCAUGGAUGACUUGGGGAUGGAAAAUAGCAAGAGGUAAUUGCUACACAUUUUUUACCAAACAUGAGGCAGAAAAUAAGGUCAAGAUUUUAAGUCAUAUGCUAAUAUCAAACAAAUGUACAAACCCCAUAUUGCAUGUAAAGGCGUAGUUUGGAGAAACGUACGCAAUAAUGAAAAACAUGAUCCAUCGAUGUCAAUAAAAUCAAAAAUAAGCUACAUGAAUAUUCGACAGACAAGCGUGGACAUACUUUUGUUUCAAUGAAUGUAAUAUAUGUAUUACUGUUAAAUUAUCAAGUCAGGGAUUUUGUUAUCAAAAGUCACCUAAUAAAAUUAUUAAAUGUUUUCUGUUUCAUAGAUGUUAAAAUUUGCUCAGUAAAAUUGGCUUUAAGUGUCGUUUUUUUAUCUGUAAAACAUUGAUUUUGUUUUUGAAAAAAUGAAACAUAACUAGAUAUGUUUUGUUGCUAAUGUCCUACUUUCUGCCGAUACCUUAUAGGUUGCACUUUGUAAAUACAGCUGUUUCUCAAAACACGCCUCUUUUGGGGAGUAAUUGAAUAUUCAUAGAAAAUUCAUUUUGUUUACAUACUGGUUCCCAGUUAUGCUCUCUGUGUUCCAUAUCGCAGAGACAGAACUUGGGAAUGUUACCAGUAAAUAAACACGUGCAUAUUGUUUAUAUUGAAAUCUGUGGUAACCUUUCAUUCGAGGUAGGGGUAGUUAAGAAAAUUAGUGUAAGUUUAAACUCUGAGAAGUUCAGGGCAUAUAAACGUUGAAAAUAUGCCGCACAGCCCUAUAUUUUGACCUUUGAAAAAAUUGUGGUGCAUAUGAACUUUCAAUUCUAGGAUAAGAUUUUUUUCAAAACUUCAUAGUAAAAGUGGUACAGCUUUAGCCGUAAAAGGAGUUCCUAUGGGAAAUUGCAUUGUCAAUAUUUACAGAAAUGCAACCUAUACUUAUAUAAUGGCAUUGUGCAUACUUAUAUAUUGGCAUUGCACAAGGCCAUGUUUUCUCAUACUGUUUUUGACAUCUUAAUUUACACUAAAUUUGUUGGAUGUGUACUAAUUGAUUCUCAAGUCUGUGAGAUCGUGAUUUACAUGUAUUUAUUCUUUUUCUGUCCACAUCGGGACAACCUCAAAUGAGUAUUUAUAUAUCUGUCAUCUAUAUGUACAAUAAAUCCUUCACCAUAAUUGUACCAUCACCAUAUACACACUCAUCAGGGUUUAAGUUAGUAGUAAAUUUUAGUAGACUAGUAAUUGCUUUGAAUUGGCUUCCAUUUACUACAAGUAAACUUAAAACUGUACUUUCCCUUUUUUUUAAAACUAUAAUUCGGCAUUAAAAUUAAAAAGAUCAUAUCAUAGGGAAAAAUGCCUGAAGUUUCAAGUUGAUUGGAUUUCGACUUCAUCAAAAACUACCUUGACCAAAAACGUUAAUCUGAAGCGGGACAGACGGACGGACGAACAGACGAACGAACGGACAAACAGACGGACGAACGGACGAACGAACGGAUGCACAGACCAGAAAACAUAAUGCCCCUUAACUAUCGUGGAUGGGGCAUAUGAAAUGGGGUCACCGUUCAUUUAAACUCCAAUCUGCCUUCGAAAGAAGCAUACAUUUUUGUACAGGUACCUUUUUUCUGUUGACAUGAAACUGAUUUUUUUUUAGCUCCAUAAGUAUUUCAGGAUUUACAGAAAUUGAUAAAUGGUAGUCCCGUAAUAUUGAUGGAGCUAAUUGUUAAAGACUGUAUUGUGAAUUAUAGUGACAUCGACAUUGAACUAAAUGAAUUCUGAAUAAAGCUAAUAACCUGUAAUGUUAAUACAGUUUUCAGUAAGUCACCAGCCGAAGGAGCAGAAUGCACAUUAAAUGCAGCUAUCAACCCUGCUCUAAAAGGUGUGAGAGAUGUUUACUAUCAAGACUGCAAACCAAAGAAUACUCAUGAUGAUGCAAGGUUUGUUUUUACUAUUUCAUUAGCUACAUGUAGUUACGGUUUAGGUGGAUUUUCUGUAUUUUGCAAAAUAUUUUAGGAAUAUUGGUCCACUUUGCUCUUCAACUUCAUACUUUAUUUGGCCUUUUUAACUUUUUUGGAUUUGAGCUACCUGAUGAGAUUUUUGUAGACGAAACCCUUGUCUGGCGUAAAUAAAAAAGUAAUCCUGUUAUCUAUGAUGAGUUUUUUAAGCCUCUUUCCAUCAGCCCACUUUGGAUAGUCCUCUAAAAUUAAACACAAAAUUCAAAAGCUUGUUCAAUAAGUUCCCUUGGGGACUAUAAGUUUGCAUUAAGUCAGGAAAGUUUUCCACUUUUAUAUGUAAUGUUUCAGUCUAUUGGAUGGAUAAUGGUUAUGUAGUCAUAUCGUAAAACAAACUUUUUUUGAGAAUGAGUUUUGUCCUUGUCGAAUGACUUUUGCAGAAGUUGUGGCCCUUGGAUAUAAAACAAUUCUUGAAAAUAUAAGUUUUCAACUUUAUUUUUCCUUAAUACUGUAAUCAGUUGACUACACACUGGCCAAGUAUCAUCACAAGAAGUUUCAAUCUGGUUAAGGUUUUUCUGUAGUUAAUGGACAUAGGAAAUUGCUUGAAAAUGUUGGUUCCACAAUUUUUCCUGAGCCUGAAUAAAUUAAUAAAAGGUAUGGAUAUAUAGUCCUAUGAGAAGUAAGAUAGAAGUUUGUUUUUUCUUCUUGUCAGUUAAUUUUGUAGGACUUGUGCUAGCUUGUCCAAGAGUAGGCUAACUCAUACAAUGUAAAUCUUACAUCCCGAUGGGGACAUUUCUUGUAGUGUUUACACAUUACUCUCAGAAUGCUUGUUGAGUUAUAUACUGACAGUAUUUGAAAUAAAGUUCUGGCUACAUGUACUAAGAACCAUUGAAUAUUAAAAGAAAAUGUGGUCGGUAAAAACCUCAUCAUAAAUAUGAGGAUACAAAUUUUGAACAUUAGAUAGACCUUAAGUGACUCCUGUCAAACAGACAUAUACCUUGCAAUGAUUCUUUACUUGACAGGUCAUUUAUCUAUAAAUACUCAUAUAAACAGACAAACUAACCAAGCAUAACGAGUUGAACUGUGAACUUUGACUCUCUAUUGAUACCCUAAAAAGAGGAAGUGGAUGAGUGCUGAAAUGUGAACACUACUCAGCCUCCUUACAGUAUAGUAUACUCACAUGAUGCUUAAUACCAAAUUUAAGGAAUCACUGAUUUAAUUGAUUGAUUGAAUCCUUGUGAAUUAAGAUUUAAGUACAGUGCAUCCACACGAGCAGGGUCGCACUCACCAGAUAGUUCUUUUUUACACCCUCUGGUCGAUGCCACUGCUGGUGGAUGUUUCGUCCCCGAGGGUAUCACCAGCCCUGUGGUCAACAUUUCGGUGUUGACAUGAAUAUCAAUAAUGUGGUCAUUUUUAUAAAUUUCCUAUUUACAAAACUUUGAAUUUUUCGAAAAACUAAGGAUGUUCUUAUCCCAGGCAUAGAUUACCUUAGGCGUAUUUUGCACAACUUUUUGGAAUUUUGGAUCCUCAAUGCUCUUCAACUUUGUACUUGUGUGCUUUAUAAAUAUUUUUGAUAUGAGAGUUACUGUUGAGUCUUAUGUAGACGUCUGGCGUACUAAAUAAUAAACGGUACCUUUGAUAACUAUCACCACCUCAGUGUUGACUGGCUAAUGAUUACAGUAAUUGAACUACCUAAGACCACUUCACUAUGGUCCUCUGAUUUGAAGUUCCUGAGCAAGAUGUGACCAAAAUAUGAUGGGACAUGCUUUAAACAAAUCUACUUUGAUUGUUUUGGCUUACUGUUUACAAAGAAUAUGAGAAAAAAGAUGGGGAUGAUAAUGAGAAAUAUUUUUGUUUCUUUCAAUUCAGUGUUAAUUAUCAUUUUUUUCUUUUCUUUUUUAGGAACAAAGACAUCCAAGAAUCAGUACUAGAAUAUUCACUAUCACGUUUAAAUGACUUUAUCACAGAUGAUAUUAGAAAUGAAUGGAAUACAAAAUAGUAAUUUUCUUAGUUGCCAUAUCUGUCUUUGAUUUUCUAUCAGUUACAGGGUUAAUAAAAGCCUGAUCUAGUCCAUGAAAAUAAACACGAGAGGUGUCUUUCAGUAUAUUUCUUUUGGUGCCCAUUACAAUAGAUAUAGGAAGAUGUGGUAUGAGUGCCAACGAGACAACUCUCCAUCCAAAUAACAAUUUAUAAAAGUAAACCAUUAUAGGUCAAUGUACUACCUUCAACACGGAGCAUUGGCUCACACCGACCAACAAGCUAUAAAGGGCCCCGAUGUCUAUUUGUCUUGCAUCCUUUUUAGACUUGGUGAGCUUGUAAUAUUCCUUAACAAAUACAAAAC